GACGAACGCUGGCGGCGUGCUUAACACAUGCAAGUCGAACGGGCUCUGUCUGGCUGUGUGCUGGGUGGGGUUAGUGGCGAACGGGUGAGUAAUACGUGAGUAACCUGCCCUCUUCUUUGGGAUAAGCCUUGGAAACGGGGUCUAAUACUGGAUAUUCCUGUCUGGUCGCAUGGCUGGGUGGGGAAAGUUUUUUUCGGUGGGGGAUGGGCUCGCGGCCUAUCAGCUUGUUGGUGGGGUGAUAGCCUACCAAGGCGUCGACGGGUAGCCGGCCUGAGAGGGUGACCGGCCCCACUGGGACUGAGAUACGGCCCAGACUCCUACGGGAGGCAGCAGUGGGGGAUAUUGCACAAUGGGCGCAAGCCUGAUGCAGCGACGCCGCGUGGGGGAUGACGGCUUUCGGGUUGUAAACCUCUUUCGUCGGGGGACAAGGCUCUGCUUGGUGGUGGGGUUGAGGGUACCCGGUGAAGAAGCGCCGGCUAACUACGUG
Molecule: ribosomal RNA, 487 nt
Filed under: uncultured bacterium
Lineage: Bacteria
Description: partial 16S ribosomal RNA
Rfam family: Bacterial small subunit ribosomal RNA
Source: RNAcentral